GCUGGGUGUGGUGGUGUGCACCUGUAGUCCCAGCUACUCAGGAGGCAGAGGCAGGAGAAUUGCUUGAACCCAGGAAGCAGAGGUUGUAGUGAGCUGAGAUCGUGCCAUUGCACUCUAGCCUGGGUGACAGAGUGAGAUUCUGUCUCAA
This is an unclassified non-coding RNA of Callithrix jacchus (white-tufted-ear marmoset), 148 nucleotides long. It matches the Rfam family "Metazoan signal recognition particle RNA". Rfam says of the family: The signal recognition particle (SRP) is a universally conserved ribonucleoprotein. It is involved in the co-translational targeting of proteins to membranes. The eukaryotic SRP consists of a 300-nucleotide 7S RNA and six proteins: SRPs 72, 68, 54, 19, 14, and 9. The record is from Ensembl. NCBI's taxonomy places the organism in Eukaryota, Metazoa, Chordata, Mammalia, Primates, Cebidae.